This 497-nucleotide ribosomal RNA is filed under the name uncultured bacterium. Its description in RNAcentral is "partial 16S ribosomal RNA". It matches the Rfam family "Bacterial small subunit ribosomal RNA", at positions 28 to 507 of the family's 1533-position model. The record is from RNAcentral.
GAUGAACGCUGGCGGCGUGCCUAAUACAUGCAAGUCGAGCGAACAGACGAGCAUCUUGCUCCUCUGACGUUAGCGGCGGACGGGUGAGUAACACGUGGCUAACCUACCUAUAAGACUGGGAUAACUUCGGGAACCCGGAGCUAAUACCGGAUAAUAUAUUGAACCGCAUGGUUCAAUAGUGAAAGACGGUCUUGCUGUCACUUAUAGAUGGAUCCGCGCCGCAUUAGCUAGUUGGUAAGGUAACGGCUUACCAAGGCAACGAUGCGUAGCCGACCUGAGAGGGUGAUCGGCGACACUGGAACUGAGACACGGUCCAGACUCCGACGGGAGGCAGCAGUAGGGAAUCUUCCGCAAUGGGCGAAAGCCUGACGGAGCAACGCCGAGUGAGUGAUGAAGGUCUUCGGAUCGGAAAACUCUGUUAUUAGGGAAGAACAAAUGUGUAAGUAACUAUGCACGUCUUGACGGUACCUAAUCAGAAAGCCACGGCUAACUACGUG